CUACUGCUUCGAUGAAUCACGGAUUUAAUUCACAUGUCAGACUUCAGAGAUUUUUGAAAAAACAAAAUCUAUGAGAAGGAAAAUUCAUUUUUCUGAGCACCUAG
This is a small nucleolar RNA of Impatiens glandulifera, 104 nucleotides long. RefSeq annotates it as small nucleolar RNA R64/Z200 family. The transcript has a single exon. The record is from RefSeq and is a predicted model, not a curated record. Lineage: Eukaryota; Viridiplantae; Streptophyta; Magnoliopsida; Ericales; Balsaminaceae.